ACGACUCUCGGCUACGGAUAUCUCGGCUCUCGCAUCUAUGAAGAACGUAGCGAAAUGCGAUACUUGGUGUGAAUUGCAAAAUCCCGUGAACCAUCGAGUCUUUGAACGCAAGUUGCGCCCGAAGCCGUCAGGCCGAGGGCACGUCUGCCUGGGUGUUACGCAAC
This 164-nucleotide ribosomal RNA is filed under the name Forchhammeria macrocarpa. RNAcentral's name for it is "5.8S ribosomal RNA". It matches the Rfam family "5.8S ribosomal RNA". From Rfam's summary of the family: 5.8S ribosomal RNA (5.8S rRNA) is a component of the large subunit of the eukaryotic ribosome. It is transcribed by RNA polymerase I as part of the 45S precursor that also contains 18S and 28S rRNA. Lineage: Eukaryota; Viridiplantae; Streptophyta; Magnoliopsida; Brassicales; Resedaceae. The record is from RNAcentral.